RNAcentral lists this long non-coding RNA (202 nucleotides) under Nicotiana benthamiana. RNAcentral's name for it is "long non-coding RNA (NBEN_LNC010617)". The record is from RNAcentral. Lineage: Eukaryota; Viridiplantae; Streptophyta; Magnoliopsida; Solanales; Solanaceae.
AACUACAAUCUGCCAACAGUUUACAUUACUCAAAUAUAUGAGUAAACUUCUUUAUUAUCGUCAAAACGUAGAACAGUUACACAAUAAAGUCCGAUAAUUUGGGAUCACUAACAUUUAUUUUGAAUAACUAUUGUAGCUACAUUAUAUGGAUUUCUUUUUUGGCGCAUUCUUGCAACUUCUUUUGUUAUGCCCUUCACCUCCA